This 423-nucleotide ribosomal RNA is filed under the name Triticum aestivum (bread wheat). RNAcentral describes it as "partial small subunit ribosomal RNA". Lineage: Eukaryota; Viridiplantae; Streptophyta; Magnoliopsida; Poales; Poaceae. The record is from RNAcentral.
AUGGCAAGACGGUUUAAGGAGAAAGUAGGGCAAGGAGGUUUUGGAACUGUAUACAAAGGCGAGCUACCAAGUGGAGUUCUCAUGGCAGUUAAGAUGCUAGAAAACUCUCAAGAGAGGGAGGAGAAUUCACUAAUGAAGUCACAACCAUUGAGGAGAAUACACCAUGCAAACGUUCUCCAACUCCUCAGCAAAGCUGUGUGCAAAGGACCAGAACAUCUUACCUUAACUGCGGCAAGAGGCACGAUGGGCUAUAUUGCACCAGAGCUAUAUUCAAGGAACUUUGGGGGAAUGUCAUACAUGUCAGAUGUGUACACUUUUGGCAUGCUGAUGUUAGAAAUGGUGAGUGGAAGGAGGAUCUCGGACCCAAGUGUUGGUAGCAAGAGCAAUGUUUACCUCCCAGAGUGGAUCUAUGAGAAAAUUUGA